RNAcentral lists this ribosomal RNA (249 nucleotides) under uncultured Oscillospiraceae bacterium. RNAcentral describes it as "partial 16S ribosomal RNA". It matches the Rfam family "Bacterial small subunit ribosomal RNA", at positions 355 to 620 of the family's 1533-position model. The record is from RNAcentral. Lineage: Bacteria; Bacillati; Bacillota; Clostridia; Eubacteriales; Oscillospiraceae.
UGGGGAAUAUUGCACAAUGGGGGAAACCCUGAUGCAGCAACGCCGCGUGAAGGAUGAAGGUCUUCGGAUUGUAAACUUCUUUGAUGAGGGACGAAUAAUGACGGUACCUCAAAAACAAGCCACGGCUAACUACGUGACAGCAGCCGCGGUAAUACGUAGGUGGCAAGCGUUGUCCGGAUUUACUGGGUGUAAAGGGCGUGUAGGCGGGAGGUUAAGUCAGAGGUGAAAUUCCCAGGCUCAACUUGGGCG